Molecule: ribosomal RNA, 497 nt
Filed under: uncultured bacterium
Lineage: Bacteria
Description: partial 16S ribosomal RNA
Rfam family: Bacterial small subunit ribosomal RNA
Source: RNAcentral
GAUGAACGCUGGCGGCGUGCCUAAUACAUGCAAGUCGAGCGAACAGAUAAGGAGCUUGCUCCUUUGACGUUAGCGGCGGACGGGUGUGUAACACGUGGGUAACCUACCUAUAAGACUGGGAUAACUUCGGGAAACCGGAGCUAAUACCGGAUAACAUUUGGAACCGCAUGGUUCUAAAGUGAAAGAUGGUUUUGCUAUCACUUAUAGAUGGACCCGCGCCGUAUUAGCUAGUUGGUAAGGUAACGGCUUACCAAGGCGACGAUACGUAGCCGACCUGAGAGGGUGAUCGGCCACACUGGAACUGAGACACGGUCCAGACUCCUACGGGAGGCAGCAGUAGGGAAUCUUCCGCAAUGGGCGAAAGCCUGACGGAGCAACGCCGCGUGAGUGAUGAAGGGUUUCGGCGCGUAAAACUCUGUUAUUAGGGAAGAACAAACGUGUAAGUAACUGAGCACGGCUUGACGGUGCCUAAUCAGAAAGCCACGGCUAACUACGUG